GAGAGGGAGAGAGCAGGUGGACGUGUGAGUCGAACGCUCCCGCGGUGAGGAUCCGUCCCUCGCCCGAGAUGAUGUCGGUGGACGGUCCGAUCCGCAGUCCGGGAUGCACGCCGUCGGCGAUGUCCGGGUUCCCCGACCGGCCGAGCGCGACGAUCCGCCCGGCUCGGAUGCCGACAUCGGCUCGGAUGACGCCCCACCAGUCGAGCACGACGACGUUGGUGAUCACCGUAUCGGGUGCCCCUUCCGCGGUGGUCGUCGUUCCCUGAUUCAUC
This 272-nucleotide small RNA is filed under the name uncultured Brevibacterium sp. RNAcentral's name for it is "5' ureB small RNA". Lineage: Bacteria; Bacillati; Actinomycetota; Actinomycetes; Micrococcales; Brevibacteriaceae. The record is from RNAcentral.